GACAGAGGGUGCAAACGUUGUUCGGAAUUACUGGGCGUAAAGCGAGUGUAGGCGGUUCGGUAAGUCGGAUGUGAAAGCCCCGGGCUCAACCCGGGAAGUGCACUCGAUACUGCCGAGCUAGAGUGUCGGAGAGGUUGGUGGAAUUCUCGGUGUAGAGGUGAAAUUCGUAGAUAUCGAGAGGAACACCGUGGCGAAGGCGA
RNAcentral lists this ribosomal RNA (200 nucleotides) under uncultured bacterium. RNAcentral describes it as "partial 16S ribosomal RNA". It matches the Rfam family "Bacterial small subunit ribosomal RNA", at positions 524 to 724 of the family's 1533-position model. The record is from RNAcentral.